UCGCUGGGCACCCCCAGGAAGGGUCAGGGGCUACGAUUUGGUGGCUGCCUUGAGGCUCAUUUGACCACGUGACUACUGUUUUGAAAAUGGCUGUUUCAAAGUAGCCCUUUCUUUUCCACCCAGAGGUUGCCCCAAGUGAGGUACCCGCCCCCAUCUCCAAUAUAGGGUGACAGGCUGACCUUUCCACACUCCCCUCUGUGACCCCUACUCUCUGCAGCUGAUCCUUCCAUCACAGGGCUGAGCAAUGUGAUCUAGAAGCUAGUGUCUAAACAUUUCAUUGAAACUGUCUUUGGAGGCUCCCUGCCAUGGUUAAUUCUGUCACAUUCUAGAAUGGGGGGAGGGUCGGACAGACUGAUAACCAGGUCCUAGCUGAUCUCAGGACCUGUAAGGGGAAAUUCCACUCCCAAAGUGGGUCUGAUAAGCAGGCUGUCCAAAUAUGGGUAAGCUGGUGCCCCCCAAACCUGCCCCACAAGGGCACCAGCCUUUGCUACCAGCACUCUGGGAUUCUUCUUAGGAUGGAGUUUUGUGUUCAGCCAUUACAGUAGGCAGAGCCUUCCAGGGUGACCUCAUUUGGAACCAGCAUCAUAGCUCACAUUUUCUGAGCUCUUGUUAUGUGCUAGACUUAUGUGAUCAUUCCAUUUAAUUUUCACAACCCCUCUGUGAGGUGUGUGUAGGUCCCAUUGUCAGGCUAGUGGGUGAGAAAGUGAGGCACAGAGAGCCCCUGUUGCUUGGCCAGGCUCACACAGCUAGUUCAGGGUGAAGCUAGGAUUAGAACAAGGCAGACUUUCUCUACAGCCUGCACUCUAAAGCCAACGUGCUAGUUGUGAAGACCCUGAAGUCCUUCAAAGACUACCAGUACCAACAAGAUGGGGGUCCCCAGACCCAUGACCUUGCCCAAGAUAGGUUUUCACACCCCAGUCCUGGGUACCCAGCCUCAGUGACACACUUACCUGCAGACCUGAGGUGUUCCUGGCUGCUGGGGGAUGGAAGGGGUAAGGGGCUUUCAGGAGGGGACUGGGAACCAAAGCAGAGCAUCUGAGCGCAUGCUGUCAACCCUAAGGCGGAGGGCCCUGGUUGGGGAUUAUGCCUAGACCUGUGAGAAUGAUUUCACAUAGAUUAGGAUGUCAGUCCUGUUGUAGGGAAGGCACUAAAAGAUUAUUAUUAUUAUUGCAUAAUGUUGAAGUCUGAGCAAAGCACUAGUUCAGGUGCCGGGAAUACAGAAUUGGACAAAAUACGAAAACAAAAAACACCUGAAGCUGACAGUCGAAUGAGGUUACAGACAAAUAAACACGCAUGGUGUGUCAGAUGGUGAUAAGUGAUCACAGACAAGUAAGGCAGAAUUUCAACUGGGGUUGAAACUGAGUAAGGUGGUCAGGGUGGGCCUCCCUGAGAAGGAUAUUUGAGCACAGACCCGCAGGAGCUGUGGGAUGAAGCCAGGUGGCUGUCAAGGAACAGGUGAUCCAGGCAAGGGAACAACUCUCCCCAUUACUACUCCACUGUUGUGAGACGGCCACAUUGAGGUGGGUGUACUUUCUCUCAUCAGCCUUUUUGGACCCGUAUAUACUUAAUUCAGACAUAUGUUAGGUUAAGUGAGCCAUGAGGCAUAACCCCUAACCCUAACCCCCUAACAUGCAGCUUGUUGCAUCAAAGUCCUACAAAGCAGAGAAUGAGAAACCCAGACCCGAAGUCACCAAGAGUACAUUACGGGAAGCAGAAGAGAUUUGACAAAAGGUACACAGCAAUGAUUAGUGAAGAGCUUCCAGAGCAGGCCCUGGCUGAGGAGAGGCCCCCACCCUUACCUGGGAGCCCCUGCCCUACCUGUCGAGGCACACCGGGGCAAAGAGGGAGCAGAGGAAGAGGCGCACAUCAGGGUCGCACUCCCUGGCCAGCAGGGGCAACCAGCUGACUGCUGGAUGGCCUCGGCUGCUGUGUCAUGGUCCAGCAAGUGGGGUAGCCGCAUCUCUGUGUAGCCAAUGUUGUGGCACAGCGCCAUGGCUUGGGGAAUGGCCAUGCACCGUGUGGGGCCCCAGGGAGCCCCUGCCCCACCGUCACCCGACAGCACCACCAGUGCCACCAGCUGCCACAGCCCUUGAUCCAUCACCUGCUUUCUCUGCCUUGGUCUCAGUGCACUGAGGUUGGGGGCUUUAUAAGGGCUAUACCCACACCUCAGGAGCCAAUGUUUGCCCAGCUUCCAUGUGCUCAGACCCACCUGGUUAGGCCCCAGUGUGCUGACCUGGGCUGUUUGCAUUUGAAUAGCACAUGGCAGGGGGCUGUAUAGAGGGUGGCAUCUCCUUUGGGCCUGUGAAUGACUGGCACCUAAUAAACUGAAGAAACCUGGG
Aethalodelphis obliquidens (Pacific white-sided dolphin) is the source of this 2339-nucleotide long non-coding RNA. RefSeq lists it as uncharacterized. The record is from RefSeq and is a predicted model, not a curated record. The transcript has 2 exons. NCBI's taxonomy places the organism in Eukaryota, Metazoa, Chordata, Mammalia, Artiodactyla, Delphinidae.